This is a long non-coding RNA of Acanthochromis polyacanthus (spiny chromis), 519 nucleotides long. RefSeq lists it as uncharacterized. The transcript has 3 exons. The record is from RefSeq and is a predicted model, not a curated record. Lineage: Eukaryota; Metazoa; Chordata; Actinopteri; Pomacentridae.
CCCCGGAAGGGACAUGUCCGUAUGGCGAAGCGACAAUGAAGGACACUCACCCGGACGAGAAUUUUAUUGAGUUUUAUUUUAAAAUCGGCCUGAAACACACAGACAUUCAAGCAGUGCGAUGCGCUAAGAGUCUGCCAUGCAGACCAGCGAUCCUGAUAAUGUUGUCGGCCUUGGAUGAUGAGGUCCAGUUACCAGGAGCACUAGUCUGCAGCUUACUGGUUCCGUCUUGCAGCUCCUCCACGCUGUCCUCCUCUCUACAGACCAAAUCAAGAAAAGGGAACCAGGAAGCUGCUGUGGAUCCUCUGCAGUAUCUGGAGAGGUCAGAGGAACGGUUCUUGGAACAGAUCGGAAGACACCAAGACGUGACCUCUGCCAUUCUCCAGAACAUCCAGAAGAUGAAUGAAAACCUUGGUUGCACUGAUGGGAUGCAUGGUGUCGGUGCUGGAGCAACUGUCCCAGAAUUAAACUGCAUUGUUGACUAUUGGCUUUUCUAGAAAAUAAAUCUUUUUUAGUACUUCA